RNAcentral lists this ribosomal RNA (468 nucleotides) under uncultured bacterium. RNAcentral's name for it is "partial 16S ribosomal RNA". It matches the Rfam family "Bacterial small subunit ribosomal RNA", at positions 28 to 507 of the family's 1533-position model. The record is from RNAcentral.
GACGAACGCUGGCGGCGUGCUUAACACAUGCAAGUCGAACGGAAAGGCCCUGCUUUUGUGGGGUGCUCGAGUGGCGAACGGGUGAGUAACACGUGAGUAACCUGCCCUUGACUUUGUGAUAACUUCAGGAAACUGGGGCUAAUACCGGAUAGGAGCUCCUGCUGCAUGGUGGGGGUUGGAAAGUUUCGGCGGUUGGGGAUGGACUCGCGGCUUAUCAGCUUGUUGGUGGGGUAGUGGCUUACCAAGGCUUUGACGGGUAGCCGGCCUGAGAGGGUUACCGGCCACAUUGGGACUGAGAUACGGCCCAGACUCCUACGGGAGGCAGCAGUGGGGAAUAUUGCAGAAUGGGCGGAAGCCUGAUGCAGCAACGCCGCGUGCGGGAUGACGGCCUUCGGGUUGUAAACCGCUUUCGCCUGUGACGAAGCGUGAGUGACGGUAAUGGGUAAAGAAGCACCGGCUAACUACGUG